UGAAUAUAUAGGGUGUGUGGAGGGAACGUGGGGAAGUGAAACAUCUCAGUACCCACAGGAAGAGAAAACAACAGUGAUUCCGUCAGUAGUGGCGAGCGAACGCGGAAGAGGCCAAACCAUGUGCAUGUGAUACCCGGCAGGGGUUGUGCGUGUGGGGUUGUGGGGUUUGUCUUGUCGAUUCUGCCGGAUCGGCCGACAGUGAGAAAUCGUGUGGUUAGUCGAAGUGGUCUGGGAUGGCCUGCCGUAGAGGGUGAGAGUCCCGUAGACGAAAACUGUGCGACUGUCGUGAUGAAUGCCCAAGUAGCAGCGGGCCCGUGAAAUCUGCUGUGAAUCUGUCGGGACCACCCGAUAAGCCUGAAUACUCCCUGGUGACCGAUAGCGGACUAGUACCGUGAGGGAAAGGUGAAAAGUACCCCGGGAGGGGAGUGAAAUAGUACCUGAAACCGUGCGCUUACAAUCCGUCAGAGCCUGCGAGUGACUUGUCGCUGUGGGUGAUGGCGUGCCUUUUGAAGAAUGAGCCUGCGAGUCAGUGGUAUGUGGCGAGGUUAACCCGUGUGGGGUAGCCGUAGCGAAAGCGAGUCCGAAUAGGGCGACCGUAGUCGCAUGCUCUGGACCCGAAGCGGAGUGAUCUACCCAUGGCCAGGGUGAAGCGACGGUAAGACGUCGUGGAGGCCCGAACCCACUUAGGUUGAAAACUGAGGGGAUGAGUUGUGGGUAGGGGUGAAAGGCCAAUCAAACUCCGUGAUAGCUGGUUCUCCCCGAAAUGCAUUUAGGUGCAGCGUCGCGUGUUUCAUCCUGGAGGUAGAGCUACUGGAUGGUCUAGGGGGCCCACAAGCUUACCGAAAUCAGCCAAACUCCGAAUGCCAGGAUGUGAGAGCGCGGCAGUGAGACUGCGGGCGAUAAGGUUCGUAGUCGAGAGGGAAACAGCCCAGAUCGCCGGCUAAGGCCCCUAAGCGUGUACUAAGUGGAAAAGGAUGUGAAGUCGCGAAGACAACCAGGAGGUUGGCUUAGAAGCAGCCACCCUUGAAAGAGUGCGUAAUAGCUCACUGGUCAAGUGAUUUUGCGCCGACAAUGUAGCGGGGCUCAAGUACACCGCCGAAGCCGCGGCACUCACAUGUAUCCCGUCCGAUCCUCAUGGGGGUCGGGCCAGGUGUGUGGGUGGGUAGGGGAGCGUCGUGUGGCCGGGGAAGCGCCGGAGUGAUCCAGGUGUGGAGGCCACGCGAGUGAGAAUGCAGGCAUGAGUAGCGAAAGACGAGUGAGAAACUCGUCCGCCGAAUGACCAAGGGUUCCUGGGCCAGGUUAAUCCGCCCAGGGUGAGUCGGGACCUAAGGCGAGGCCGACAGGCGUAGUCGAUGGACAACGGGUUGAUAUUCCCGUACCCGUGUAUCCGCGCCCAUGACGAAUCAGGAGUACUAACCGUCCAGAUCUUCCGUGAGCACCUUCGGGUGCCUGGUGGAGUGAUGCACGGGACCUUUCCUGGUAGUAGUCAAGCGAUGGGGUGACGCAGGAAGGUAGCUGGGCCAGUCAGUGGUUGUACUGGUGUAAGCCUGUAGGGCGAACGGUAGGCAAAUCCGCCGUUCACGAAGCCUGAGAGGUGAUGCGUAGCCGAAUGAGGCGAAUUCAGUGAUCCUAUGCUGCCGAGAAAAGCCUCUAGUGAGUUGGUACACGGCCCGUACCCCAAACCGACACAGGUGGUCAGGUAGAGAAUACCAAGGCGAUCGAGAGAACUAUGGUUAAGGAACUCGGCAAAAUGCCCCCGUAACUUCGGGAGAAGGGGGACCCCUGCUGGUGAUCACUCUUGCAGUGUGAGCUGGUGUGGGUCGCAGAGACCAGUGAGAAGCGACUGUUUACUAAAAACACAGGUCCGUGCGAAGUCGUAAGACGAUGUAUACGGACUGACGCCUGCCCGGUGCUGGAAGGUUAAGAGGACCGGUCAGCCACUUCGGUGGCGAAGCUGAGAAUUUAAGCCCCAGUAAACGGCGGUGGUAACUAUAACCAUCCUAAGGUAGCGAAAUUCCUUGUCGGGUAAGUUCCGACCUGCACGAAUGGCGUAACGACUUCUCAGCUGUCUCAACCAUAGACUCGGCGAAAUUGCAUUACGAGUAAAGAUGCUCGUUACGCGCGGCAGGACGAAAAGACCCCGGGACCUUCACUACAGCUUGGUAUUGGUGUUCGGUUCGGUUUGUGUAGGAUAGGUGGGAGACUGUGAAGCAUGCACGCCAGUGUGUGUGGAGUCGUUGUUGAAAUACCACUCUGAUCGUAUUGGAUACCUCAACCUCGGACCAUGAUCUGGUUCAGGGACAGUGCCUGGUGGGUAGUUUAACUGGGGCGGUUGCCUCCCAAAAUGUAACGGAGGCGCCCAAAGGUUCCCUCAGCCUGGUUGGCAAUCAGGUGUCGAGUGCAAGUGCACAAGGGAGCUUGACUGUGAGACUGACAGGUCGAGCAGGGACGAAAGUCGGGACUAGUGAUCCGGCACCGGCAAGUGGAAGCGGUGUCGCUCAACGGAUAAAAGGUACCCCGGGGAUAACAGGCUGAUCUUCCCCAAGAGUCCAUAUCGACGGGAUGGUUUGGCACCUCGAUGUCGGCUCGUCGCAUCCUGGGGCUGGAGUAGGUCCCAAGGGUUGGGCUGUUCGCCCAUUAAAGCGGCACGCGAGCUGGGUUUAGAACGUCGUGAGACAGUUCGGUCUCUAUCCGCCGCGCGCGUGAAGAAACUUGAGGAAGGCUGUCCCUAGUACGAGAGGACCGGGACGGACGAACCUCUGGUGUGCCAGUUGUUCCACCAGGAGCACUGCUGGUUGGCUACGUUCGGAAGGGAUAACCGCUGAAAGCAUCUAAGCGGGAAGCCUGUUCCAAGAUGAGGUUUCU
RNAcentral lists this ribosomal RNA (2865 nucleotides) under Rhodococcoides corynebacterioides NBRC 14404. Its description in RNAcentral is "bacterial LSU rRNA". It matches the Rfam family "Bacterial large subunit ribosomal RNA". The record is from RNAcentral. Lineage: Bacteria; Bacillati; Actinomycetota; Actinomycetes; Mycobacteriales; Nocardiaceae.